Molecule: long non-coding RNA, 895 nt
Organism: Bufo bufo (common toad)
Lineage: Eukaryota; Metazoa; Chordata; Amphibia; Anura; Bufonidae
Exons: 4
Source: RefSeq, a predicted model, not a curated record
AUGACCCUAAUAGCCACACCUGGGGAAAGAAGGUGCGGCAAGCACCAGAAACAACACCGGCGUCAUUUGAUACAAACGAAAACCAUGUCAGAUCAAACCACGUGUUAAAAGUCUCACCGAUCUCCUGCCACCUGUACCGGGAACAUCCAUGACAAGCAAAAGGUGGAGAUGGUGAAGGUAGAGAGGAGCAGAAUGUGGAGACGGUGAAGGUAGUGAGGAGCAGAAUGUGGAGACGGUGAAGGUAGUGAGGAGCAGAAUGUGGAGAUGGUAAAGGUAGUGAGGUUCAGAAUGUGGAGAUGGUAAAGGUAGUGAGGAGCAGAAUGUGGAGAUGGUGAAGGUAGUGAGGAGCAGAAUGUGGAGAUGGUGAAGGUAGUGAGGAGCAGAAUGUGGAGAUGGUGAAGGUAGUGAGGAGCAGAAUGUGGUGGUGGUGAAGGUAGUGAGGAGCAGAACGUGGAGAUGGUGAAGGUAGUGAGGAGCAGAAUGUGGAGAUGGUGAAGGUAGUGAGGAGCAGAAUGUGGAGAUGGUGAAGGUAGUGAGGAGCAGAAUGUGGAGAUGGUGAAGGUAGUGAGGAGCAGAAUGUGGAGAUGGUGAAGGUAGUGAGGAGCAGAAUGUGGUGGUGGUGAAGGUAGUGAGGAGCAGAACGUGGAGAUGGUGAAGGUAGUGAGGAGCAGAAUGUGGAGAUGGUGAAGGUAGUGAGGAGCAGAAUGUGGAGAUGGUGAAGGUAGUGAGGAGCAGAAUGUGGUGGUGGUGAAGGUAGUGAGGAGCAGAAUGUGGAGAUGGUGGAGGUAGAGAGGAGCAGAAUGUGGAGAUGGUGAAUGUAGUGAGGAGCAGAAUGUGGUGGAGAGGAGCUGAAUGUGGAGACGGUUGUAGUGCUAUUACUGGACAUGUGUUGUUC